Molecule: long non-coding RNA, 741 nt
Filed under: Rattus norvegicus (Norway rat)
Lineage: Eukaryota; Metazoa; Chordata; Mammalia; Rodentia; Muridae
Description: long non-coding RNA NONRATT022810
Source: RNAcentral
AAGGACCUGGGUAUCCCCAAGCCUUUCGGGCCCCAGGUCGAGGAGGAGUGCUGCCUGGAGACACAUGUUCGAGGCCUGCUGGAGCCCCUGGGCCUUGCCUGCACCUUCAUUGAUGACAUCUCUGCAUACCACAAGUUUCUGGGAGAGGUUCACUGUGGUACCAACGUGCGCAGGAAGCCCUUCACCUUCAAGUGGUGGCACAUGGUGCCCUGACUGCCAGGGGCCCUGGCCUUCCUUCCUUCCCUGCGAUCUCCAGGUCCUUCCUGUGUCCCCAAGUCCUUCCCCUACAAGAAGCGGGUGGGAUUGGGAUUGUGCCUUGCUGUCCCCUGGAGAAGGACUUUAGUGUCCAUUGAAGCCACCCCGAGUAAGUCCAACCGUUCCCUACCCCUGAAAAUAGCUAGACAUGUGGUUAGUGUGCAGAACUUUGGAAGGGAAAACCAGACUUCAACAAAUCAUGUAGUCGCACUGUCCCCCCAAAGAAUUCUCAGCCUCUACUCCAGAUCAGAAAGAGGGGAGAGAGAAGGGAGACUCUGAGGUCAUUGGCUCGCCCAGCACCCAUCUGACAUUCAAGAUAGACCAGGAGGACCAGGGCCAGGGUCCUGGCGUACCUCGGAUGGUACCAUCUUUUCAAGCUUACCUACCUUGGGGCCUCCUGGUGGCAUCCUGCACCCGUUCAUUCCUUAAGGCUUCCCAUACACACUGUGUCCCCACCCUACCCCACCCCCACCCCCUGAGGGUCCA